Molecule: ribosomal RNA, 463 nt
Filed under: uncultured Klebsiella sp.
Lineage: Bacteria; Pseudomonadati; Pseudomonadota; Gammaproteobacteria; Enterobacterales; Enterobacteriaceae
Description: bacterial SSU rRNA
Rfam family: Bacterial small subunit ribosomal RNA
Source: RNAcentral
CCUCGGUGGCUGCAGUGGGGAAUAUUGCACAAUGGGCGCAAGCCUGAUGCAGCCAUGCCGCGUGUGUGAAGAAGGCCUUCGGGUUGUAAAGCACUUUCAGCGGGGCGGAAGGCGUUAAGGUUAAUAACCUUGUCGAUUGACGUUACCUGCAGAAGAAGCACCGGCUAACUCCGUGCCAGCAGCCGCGGUAAUACGGAGGGUGCAAGCGUUAAUCGGAAUUACUGGGCGUAAAGCGCACGCAGGCGGUCUGUCAAGUCGGAUGUGAAAUCCCCGGGCUCAACCUGGGAACUGCAUUCGAAACUGGCAGGCUAGAGUCUUGUAGAGGGGGGUAGAAUUCCAGGUGUAGCGGUGAAAUGCGUAGAGAUCUGGAGGAAUACCGGUGGCGAAGGCGGCCCCCUGGACAAAGACUGACGCUCAGGUGCGAAAGCGUGGGGAGCAAACAGGAUUAGAUACCCGAGUAGUC